This 618-nucleotide ribosomal RNA is filed under the name Triticum aestivum (bread wheat). RNAcentral's name for it is "partial small subunit ribosomal RNA". Lineage: Eukaryota; Viridiplantae; Streptophyta; Magnoliopsida; Poales; Poaceae. The record is from RNAcentral.
AUGCAGACGGCGCUCAAGGCGGCCAACUCCGUCGUGGGGCUCGCCGGCAUGGACGUCAUCCUCUACGCGCUUUGGGUGCUCCGAGCCUGGUCCAAGCAGCACUCCGUGGUGGGGCUCGCCCAGUUUAUCUACACUCUUCUCAGCCUGGGAAUCAUCAUGUGCUUGCUGACCUGCUCGGGCCACAUCGCCGCUGAAACUGCAAACAACCCCUGCCUGUCUUGUCACGUGAUCUUUGUAUUCUUGCUUGUGAUGCUGGAAGCUGCAAUCGGCGCCGAUGUAUUUCUUAAUAGCUACUGGGAGGAGCCUUUUAGAGAUUCCAUGCAAUUUAUAAAUUAUAAUUUCAGUGAUGUCUCAUCCUUCUCAUUUGUUGUCCAACGCCUGUUUUUAGGAAAGAAAACAAACUCAAAAACCGUUCAUCUCAACCCAAGUAGCCACCUCUAUGACAAUCAUGAAAUAAAUCACCAAACUUGUAAGUGCAUCGGGCCUAUAGCGGGUGCCAGCGUACUGGUUUGCUCACGGUCCAGCGCAGUAGAGGGGGAGCUCCUAUCUGGCGCUUCAGGUGUCGCCAAGCCCUCUAUAGUGCUCUCACGGAAUGCACGGCAAGCUGCGGCCCAUUAG